AAGAAAGCACUUGUUCUUACUGCUGCUAACAGGGAGACCAUGUUCUGUGUUUCCUUAUGAGAAGGAAGGACUGGUGGUGGUUUCGAUACGCAUCUUUACGUAGCGCUGGCAGUAAGCCUACUGUAGGUCACCCAGCAGGUUUGGGUUUGAACUUCAGAAUGUCUGGAAAUGACCUUCCAGCAAGCACUAUUCAUAAAUUACAAAGAUUACUGUAUUUUAGCCAUCUUAGGCACAUAGGCUUUCAUAAGUAAGUGUAAGAACUUUAAUGCAACACAACUCAAUUUAGAAUAAUACAUUAUUUUUCAUCUGACACCACUAAAGGUGACAUUGCUACAGGAAAGAGCUGAAACACUGAUUCUUGCCUUAUUGCCCUGUUCAGUCUUCUGAAGACUGAUUUUAAUAAGAAGUGUAUCUGCAAAAAACACAGGUUGCUAUGCUAGCUAUCAGGGAAAGGGGAGAAGGGACAAGUCUUCUAAUAGCUCCUUUUACAGCUGAAGAGUAGCUGCUGGCUGAUGGGUGGAACACAGGGUCAAUGCAAGAAGCAUCCAUAUUAAAAACCGAAGAAAAAGCAGAUCAGCAAAUUAUUCGUGACACAUUUCUGCUGUAGGUGACAGGUAAGAAAACAGCACUGUGGAUUUCUGAUGACUGUAAAGCCUUGCCUUCCCAUCCCCAAGCCAGGCAUCCCAAUUGUGGUCAGAACAGUUAAGUCGUGGGGCUUUUUGUUUGUUUGCUUUCACACAGAUUAGCUUCAGGUGUUAGUUUCUGUACUUUGGAUGUUUCAAUUUUUAUUACACAAAUUAAAACACUUAAAUUUGCUGGCUGUCCAAAGCCCUCAGUACUGGAAAUCCAGACAAUGGUACCUCAGCUUGUACUCAAGUAUGAAAGCAUUCCACUUAAGAAAAUGUAAAUGAUCUCUCACUGAUGCCUCCCACAUUAUCCCACCUUUAUCUCAACAUGAACUAUUCUAUCAGAGAGCCUGCAGGAAGAAAUCUAGACUUGCUGUCUGGAUUUUUCUCGCAGUAACAGUUUAAAUAGGUGAUGAAAAUGCAGUCUUAGAGGCCUGAUCCUGGAGAAGGCAUGACUUUCUCAACACAAAAUACUUAUGAAGAAUUAUAGCUGUAUGGAGAACAUAAUUAAACCCCCCAACAUGAAUUUUCAAGCACAAUUUUGUGUCGCCCCAUAGUACGAAAGAUACAGAUUUAAUCUCUGCUCACUGAUGCUUUCAAACACGCAGACAGUAUCUCACAGUCAAACCGAUCUCAACAGAUUACUUGCAUGGAUUUUACCAACUUACAGAAAUUGUAAUUAUGCUUUUCCUGAUGUUUUUAUUAGGUUGACUGGUUAAUACUUUUAACUUGCUCUUGAUUUUGUUCUAACGCUUGAAAUCAGCAACUCUGUUUCCUGUAAACAGCUUGCAAAGCAAACACAGAAAGCUACAUGAGGCUGUUUGCUUUUGCACUGGGAGCGGCAGAACAGCAAACAACGCUGAACACAGAAUGUUAACAGUCUCCCAGAAGUGGUUUCAGAACAAAUGGUAAAAAUGUACGCAGGCACAGAGAGCUGUGGUCACCUCUCAAAGAGAGGCCAUCCCUCACAUCACCUGCAGAAACACUGAGAAGAAAAUUACUCAAAACAAUCCUUUAAAGUUAAGAGUAAUGGAAGCGGCCAGUGUCACACCAUUGAAAAUGUCCUACAUUACCCUUAACUGAAAGUGCAGAUUGCUCAUAGUAAAAGGACAAUUUAUCCAGUUAUUUUUGUCAAAAAGCAAAUGAAGCCUUUAAGCAACGUUUCCUCUUUGUAGUUCAGUUUGUACUUAUAUUUUUGUCAGAAAUAUUACUCAUACUUUGGUGACAGCUUUACUUUUGUAGACUGAGCAAUAUCAUUUCAAUGCUAGCUAAAGGAGUACAAAACAAAGUGCUAAAUUUUUCAGAAAUUCAGAAUAUAUUCUCAGGAAAGUAUGGAACUUUUAAUACAUUCUUGUUUAUAGCAGAAAUGCUGAGUUGUGGCCUGAAGCAGUGAUGGAGCACCUGGUGGGAAGGCAGGGCAGCCCAGGGAGCUCAGGUGCAUGCAAUGCAAUGCAAUGCAAUGCACUGAGUGAUGGAAGGGUGGAACCAGGAUCCACCCCUUCCCCGCCCUCAUUUAAGGGCUGGCAGUGGAGGUGAGGGUCUCACUGGAAUUCCCUGCAUACCUGAGGCCUUCUGAAGGAAACAGAAAGUUCAUGUUACAGCCAAGGAAGUCAGCAGUGGAGGAAAGCAUUUGUCUCAGUGCCACCUGGUUAUGCACAGCAUGUGUCUGAAAGGUCUGUGGGUGGCUGACAAGUAGAAGAGUUGGAGGGAGAAAUGAGUUCAUGGUGGAUGGAAAUGGAGCAUUCAUGGUCAACGAAGUCUAGAAGAAUUGGGCUUAAGUGGGGCUCAAGAGGAAUCCAGUUGUUUAUAACAUAGAAGGAUGCUGAGUAUGAAAGGAAAGUUUGCAUAGAUCUUCCUUGUAUGAGAGGCAAUGGAAAAAGAACCGUGGAAGAAAAGGGUUCUCCACUAAUUGUUUUCUGAAGUCAGAGAAUAACAAGAAUUUUCUGAUAACGGUGCAAGAUUUGAGCGCUGCAGCCCCUUCCCCCCAUAGAAAUAAAUGUGGGGAAAAGGGGGAGGAAAAAAAUAACCAGAUACCUGAUUAGAGAAGGCUAAGAAGACUUUUUUGUUUUGUUUUAACACAUCAAAACAAACUGCAAAGUCCUCCAAGUUACAGGUGGCAUUUAAAGGAAGCAGUUCUCUCUGCUCUGGUUUGGAACUGCUGCUUUUUAUUAGGAGAGCCAUCGUUCUUGGAGAGAUGCAGUGAAAAUGUGGCCCUGUUUAAAAUGGUUCUGAAGAUUCUAGACCUUCUUUUCCCAGACCUUUCCUAACAGAACUGCAGCCAUGGAAUCACUCUGGGGUUUUGUAAGAUCAGGAGAUCCUUCAAGAAGGCGUCCUGUCAUUCUGGCUGCUCUUAUGGCACUUUGUAAUGGCACAGCUCCUGUCCCUCUGGCACCAUUUGCACAGCAGGACUUUCAAGUUUGAGGAAUCCAAAACAAACAUUUUGUUUACAAGAAAUAUAAGACACACAACCAGUGAAAUAGUAUCAAGAUGCUGUCUGUUCCUCAACUAACAGAACGUAAUUAUUUCUAUUUACUGCAUGCGUGGACACAGAAAGCACAGGAAUGCCUUCACACGUGUUUUAUUUUCGGAGAGGUCAUUCAGAUUGAACGUCACUGUUUUGAUUGUAGGGCCAUACGUGGUGAACUCCUGCGAGUGUUAGAAAGCAAAGCAAAGAGUGAGCUUCAGAUUCCACCAGUAAUGUUUUGACAGGAUGAGUAAAACACAUCAGAAAUGUACAGAAAGGGGAAAAUGCAAAAGAAACAAUGAAAAUUACAUGUACUGAAUGCUUUUAGAAUGAAAAAAGGUUUUCUCUGAUUUUUUCCGGGUGUGAGCUUUAUGUGAAAUAACGCUUUCAGUAUUUACUUCCUAAUCACAUUACGUAUUUCAUUGGCACCUGCAUGUGUAAUAUUGCUGGGUCUGGAUGAUGUUACAGAUUGACACACCUCAGGCUGAUGGCACUGAGGGACAACAUCCCCUACGGAAGGGCUUCAGUAUUGAUUAAAUGCCCACAGUGUUGCUUCCCCCAGUUAGAGAGCUGUUCUGUCAACAUAUGUUGUCAUUCUGUGAAUGGUUAUAAAGCUGCUAGGUGCUGAUAAACAUAUAUUGACAUCAGCAGUGGACAUGCAGUGCCAGUAAUUAGCUCUGUCGCUUUUGUUUGUACAAAUUUAAAGCAAUGGGAAUUGCUUUCUUGUAUAAGCCACUGAAUUCCUACCUAUCCUAACACAAUCACUGCAAGCAAACUUCCCUGUUGUCCCCAGGCCCUCGGUCUGUGUUAACUCACAAACCACAUCCAGAAGUGGUUUGGGAAUGUGUGUUUCAGGUUGGGCCAACAGUGCCAACGGCCAUUCUGACAACUUUCAAGCUCCAGCAUCUGGGAGCACUUCUCCCAUCCCAGCUGCUUAACUGGCUACUGGAAAUGUGCUGCUGUGCCAGAAUGGACCUCUGGAGAUCAUCUCGUCCAACCCCGGGUGCUUCUGUUCUAUAGGGUGUUUCUUCCUCUUACCACCUUUCUGCUUUUCCUUCCCAGCAGCGUGCUAAGGAAGAUGUCUGCUGGCAUAUGGAGCGGAUGAAUCACGAGAAUAGAAUGGACAAAUCAUGGAACUGUUUUAGGAUAGAGAGCCCUGUGUUCCGAGGAUCCAGGGGAGGAGAAGGGCGUACAUGGAAAAUGUGCAUACACACAGCAGUUCUCAUUUAGGAGGAAGUGGAAAAAAACCCAGCAAGAAUGCCCUCAGCAGCUCCCCGCCCUGCAGCCCAGCCCCGCAGAUCUAUUUUCAGUAGCUGCAUUGAGACACGGCAGGCAGUCAUAGCGCAGAUUGGCGGCACUGCGGAAACACGGCACGGCUCAGCAGAGCUCACAGCUCCACAAUCGCAGCUGCUCUGUGUGUGAAACUGCUGGGAACGGUGAAGAAACGCCGUGUGGCUCCGUGCCUUCGGUGGCUGGAAGCACGCAGCUCAAGGACCUUUUCUCUACUAGACCAGGCGGUCUCUGGAAGUUUUUCAGUCCCUGUGCUGCCACAGUGGCUUGUUGUUAGCAGAAGUAUCUGACCAGUUUCUAGACACGAAUGCCUCAGAAUCAGUGAAAAGUUUUGCAGUGGAAAUUUCUCUGGUAAUUGCUUGGUUUAACAUGGGGCAUGCUUAGCUGGCCCUCCCAGCACUGCACAGGGCUCAGCUCCUUCCUCCUAAGGGUUUGUGUUCGACAGACAUAAACCUUUUCUCCCCUCUCCCCACUGGAAACAAUCUAAUGAAAUAAUUUUUAGUUGAUUUUUUUUCCUCUCCUCAGCAUUAUAGAGAAGAAUACAGGGAAGGACAAUUGUUUUGUCCUUACUAGAGGCUGGAUUCUGAGAGCAAACAAAACCUGACCUUGCUUCCAGAGCUCACUCUUUACACAGCUGAGUGCUGCUGCCUUCAAAGCAGUGCCAUUCCAGGCUGCAAUGUCCCGAGCACUUUUUCAGAACAGGGAGCCUGGCAACUCCCUGUUCAGCAGAUUGGUAAUGCCAAGAUAUUUUACACCACAGCUUUUCAACCUGGGCCAUUCUAUGAUUCUAUGAUCAGUUCAAAUGGUUGUAAUAUUUUGUUGAACUUCAGAAGUUACACAGUUAAAAAAGCUAUUCAGAAAUCAGUUUUUAUGUUAAUUUUCAAAUGAUGUCUGACUAAGGAAAACGUCACAAAAAUGGCGGGGGCUGAACCCCAGGGCAGUAUUGCUGGUCGUACAGCACAGCCAGAUCCGAAAACAAGCAGAGUCAGAGAAACAAAGGAUUUCUGCCCAACAGAACCAGUAACUUCUAAUUGCCCUAAUUGUCAGCUAACUUCACAAUCUUAUUAUCUGCCGAGGUGCACAGAGACACUGAAACAAAACCUCUGUCUCAACCCAACUAGACAUGACAAAAUAAGAAAAAAAGCUGAGGAAGUCGUUCACAUGGCAUCAUCUGGCUGCACAGGCAGUAACACAGCCCAGGCCUCCUCACUGUUGAUGUAGUGUCCUAUAUUCUAGUGACACACUAGCUCUCGUGAACAGAAUAAUUAACUGGAAGAGAACAGAAGGCACGUGAUUAGAUCCUACAGCUUUCUAUUAUUUAGGAUGAAUGGAAAUGAAGGGAACACUUUUAAACAGGGCAACUGGAAACAUCUUCUUAUGCAGCCAAUAUUAGAGUUGGCACAAUCGUCUGAAAAAAGAGCUGAAGAGGAAUGUAUUCUGAUCGCUGGCAUCACUGAGCCAUCAUAUGAUCUGACAUGAAAGUUGCUGUGUGCUCUUUGCCACAAGAAACCAAUGCUUUUUAACCAAGCUGGCAGAAAGGAGCUGCCUGAAGAGGAGCAAGCUUUAUAUGUCCACAAGUUGUGCAUAAGUAUUGUAUCUUCCUCAGUUUCUGAUAGCCAUACAAACAACGUUAAUCUUCAAAACAAAUGACAGCCAUUGUAAAAGUGCCUUCCUGUAAGUGUGCAGCUUUGCUUUUCACAUGAAGACGCACCUCGCAGCACAAUGGCUCAGCAGGUACGGCGCUGCUGAACAAUGCUCAGACUGCUGGAGUUUCAAGCUUACAUCCUGCAGCCACUUUGCCAAGAGUGGGUAACAAUGUAUUCAGCUAGAAAUCCAAAAUCACAACAUGAACGCAGAAAAGUCGGUCUAAUGUUAAUUGUAUGACUAGCACAUAGCUAUUCAUAGCUAACCUCUGCAUAGACACCAACAGUGUUGCUCAUAUUGUUCACUCAGAAAAGAUGGCUUUUUUUUUAAAGUAUUUUGUGUUGCUACACUAAAUCUGCAAACCUUCUUGAGGAGAUUCAGGAAGCCCUAUAGAAAGCAUAUCAUAACGUGCUCUCUUUUGUACAUUAUUACAUCUCAUUCCCUGCUUUCGGUGUUGAAAUCCACAAAAAAAGCUUUCAAAAGGGCUGGACUCAACACAUCUCAUGUAAAGCCACCUCAGUCGUACAUUAGCUUCAUAUUGUUUUAAAACAGGUCUAGCAGAAUGAGAGAAAAUCAGGAUGACUGUUCAUUCAAAAAGGCCAAUUCUUAUGACUAGUUAUUAGUCAGCUUUAUGUCUCUCCCAUCAGUAUGCUUUGAAUACAAAUAUUUCCAGUUUAUGAAUAUGUUGCCCGGGAGAGAAUACAAGUAAGGUCAAGAUAGAUAAUUUGUGCUAAGCUGGAGUUGGGCUUUACAAACACACGACCUCCUGGGGCCCCUCUACCCCCAAAUUUGGAUUUAUACUGCAGUGAUUCAAAGCAGCUCCUUCCCUGCAGCGUGCCAUGGGUGAACUGCAAUUCUCCUAAGGCAGUCGAAUGGCAAGGCUUUUUUAAACACAGAAAUGGGGAAGUCAAGGUUUUAAACUGAGUGGAUCAGAAACAUCCCGAUGAAGCAAGCUUACCGAGUCAGCUCUACACGGCUCUGCUCAAUCAGAACAGCACUGUGCCCCAUGGAACAAGCAAGUCACACACUUGGGGUGGAAAUGAAAACUUCUGGGUAAAAUUUACAUUCGUGUAGAGAAAUAAGUCUUUAAAAUGCAAGGUUAUCAACACCUGUGAAUUGCCAAGAAUUCCAGAAGGCUCACCACAGAGGGCUGACACACCAGCUUUGGGCACAGCCCUCGGAGCACACGGGCAGAACAACGGGCCCAUAGCUCAGCACUUCCAUCCUCUGCCCCCUUUCCCCUGCUCUGCACGUGUCACCGCCCGCUGCCAGCCUUCCUCGCCACGCAGCAGGGAAAAUGCAGUGCGGUGACACAGCGAGGAGCGCCGCUACCGCAGGUCACAGAGCGACGCAUCUGCGGAGGCCGCGAUGCCCCAGCAGCACGGCGGUGCAGGGGCUCCCGGGGCAGGGCAGUGCCCAGCAACCCGCCCAGCUCCUCCUGACUCACUGCCCCGCGCCCUCGGGCUUCGUUUGGCACGUGCCAUUCCUAUCGUGCGCUAAAGUGAUUCUUUGGGUAUUACAUAAAGAGUAAAUGUCAGCCUUCGUUUUGGUGUGAGCACAUAUUUGUGGGUUAUGCUGUUUAUUCAGUCAGGUUAGCUAAAAAAUGUGGAGGUAUUCACUUUCCCAUGUUGUUGCCAACAAAAAGGAUGACUAAGAUAAACAUACAAAGGCGUUACUUUUAGCCACUCGAUGCCUUCUGUGGGUGUAUUUUGGAGCUACGUAUAACACGGGUUACUUUGUAUGUAAUAAAGCCGGUGGAUUAUCAUUGUAAGAAAAAAGAAAUGGCAAACACACCAAGCCAGGCACUCAAUUUCAUUUUCUGCUA
This is a long non-coding RNA of Lagopus muta (rock ptarmigan), 7849 nucleotides long. RefSeq lists it as uncharacterized. NCBI's taxonomy places the organism in Eukaryota, Metazoa, Chordata, Aves, Galliformes, Phasianidae. The transcript is spliced from 3 exons. The record is from RefSeq and is a predicted model, not a curated record.